Molecule: ribosomal RNA, 445 nt
Filed under: uncultured bacterium
Lineage: Bacteria
Description: SSU rRNA
Rfam family: Bacterial small subunit ribosomal RNA
Source: RNAcentral
AGAACGAACGCUGGCGGCAUGCCUAACACAUGCAAGUCGAACGGGACCUUCGGGUCUAGUGGCGCACGGGUGCGUAACGCGUGGGGAUCUGCCCUUAGGUACGGAAUAACUCAGGGAAACUUGAGCUAAUACCGUAUAAUGACUUCGGUCCAAAGAUUUAUCGCCUAGGGAUGAACCCGCGUAGGAUUAGCUUGUUGGUGAGGUAAAGGCUCACCAAGGCGACGAUCCUUAGCUGGUCUGAGAGGAUGAUCAGCCACACUGGGACUGAGACACGGCCCAGACUCCUACGGGAGGCAGCAGUGGGGAAUCUUGGACAAUGGGCGCAAGCCUGAUCCAGCCAUGCCGCGUGAGUGACGAAGGCCUUAGGGUUGUAAAGCUCUUUUGCCGGGGACGAUAAUGACGGUACCCGGAGAAUAAGUCCGGCUAACUUCGUGCCAGCAGCCGC